GCUCUCUUUCACGUCUUUCUUUUUCUUUUUGGUUGCUGUACCAGCAGCAUCCGUUCAACCUCUCUCUUUUAUAACCUCGAUAUUAGGGCUUCAUUCAAGAACACGUCUGUUCUCGAAUGUCCCCUAUCACAGCCCGGAAUGAGCUGCCAGUUUACGUCAGAGGCGGGGGGUGGGGCGUGGGUGUUGGGAGGACCAACGAGACGCAGAGUCAGCGCCGCGCACAUUCUCCUCCGAAGACGUGGAGGAGAUGCUGCGUGGAUGCUAGUCAAGCUAAAGCAAUGGCGACUUCUUCCAUACGAACUGGGACAAGUUGACGUGACGCCAGAACGCAGACUUUCACGGCUCGCUCCAGAUUCUUCGUUUGAAAGACGGCAACUUUACAAAAAGGACUCGAAGCUAUUAGGGUGGAUUUACCGUAUGAAUGUGUGUGAACUUACAAGUCCAAUGGCAAAGCAGGCAGAUUUUUGCCACACGAAGGCUUCUUCACAUUGAGCAGAGAGAUGAGGCAAAAGAUGAAAAGGAAGAAGAGGAGGAUUCGGAGUGUGGGUGGAAGGAGGGAUGGAUAGGAGACUUUGCAGGAAGCGGCUGAACCCGGAGCAGGUGAACACAGCUGUGGAUCUCCAUGACGGGCCUCGCUGGCUGCCUUCCUCGCACAGGCCCCCCGGCGUUUGCGUUCGGGGGUCCCGGCAAGCGUACAGAGGCCAGGCAGAGUGGGCAGGCGAGGGCGGGCCCGAGCCAGGAGAGAUGCAGGUGAGGCAGGCGAGCCGAGGCGCCCGUCGCCGCCGGCUAGGAGCCUCCGCGCUGUCAAAUCAAUACAGAGGCUAGCAGAGGUUGGCCAGAACCGCCCGCGGGCCCCUUGGAGCCCUGGGACCGACCGCCAGUUCCCACCUCCAUCUUUUUUUUUCCAGCUUCCUCCAACAGUCCUGGGCCAGAGCCCUCACCCUUGCACCCGCCCCACACAUGGAUGGAUGUUUCGGUGUGGGCUCGGCCCGCAGGGAUUUUUUUUGCCGCUCAAUAAACAUUUUGCCAGUGAGAGGCGGGGACGCCAGAGCGGAAAAGAAGAAGCCAAUAUGUGGGAAAAAGCAAGAGUUUCUUCUCGAUUCUGUUAGGAUUCACAGAGGUGGGGGGCCGGAGGUGGGGGGGGGGGGGGGGAACAGGACGCUAUCCAAGCCCAAGAAAACCUUCAUCUCACGGGCUUGGAUGAAAGGACAACUUCGUCUCCAAUCUGCUGCAUUUUUUUGUUAUUGCUUUAUAUUUCCUGAGCCACACUAAGAGCAGCCGCCUUCAGAGGAUAUGGAAGUGCAGUAUUGAUCUAGCAGGUGGAGCGGAGGAAAAGAUGAGGGAUUUCGCCGCUUCCUCACUGUUUGCAAGCUCAGGUCCACCGUUCAUUGCUAAUGAAUGACUGCUAAUGAGAGCCUACUUUUUCCUUCCUCAUAUAAUAAGACUCUUUUUUUAUUUUAUUAUUUUUUUUUACCUGUAACAAAUCCUAAUGUGAAGACAUGACAUGGGACUUAAGGCAUCCAUCCUGAAAAUCUCAAGGCAGAGUUACUACUUUUCGGCAUGGCGUGGACAGCACAGGGCUUGACAAGGAUGGGGUCCUUGCUGCAUGCACGUGACGAGAAGGGAAGGGAACGUGGACCAUGUGGAGAUGAGGCCACUCUUGGUCGCCAUGACGAUGUAAAGCUGCAAUCAAGUACAGGAACACAUGCAACAAAGUGCGUGCUUUUUAUUUGUCGUCAUGAGAGCAGGUCAAUUGAAGAAGCUUCUAAAAUGUAUUUUGAGGAGUCUUAAGGGGUUGAGCAACCACAUCUGUUUAGAAGUACAGCUAUAAUCAGAAAUCAGUCACACUUUUUCGUUUUUGUUAAGUUAUGAAUAGGCCUAAUUAAAACCAUGUAUUGCCAAAUUGUCUUAUCUAAAAACAAUAAUUAAAUUUGGAUUGGAUUGGAUACAACUUUAUUGUCAAAUGUGUUGUAUGUGUAACAUACACACACACACACACACACACACACACAAACACAGCACAGAUAAGUGACUAUAAUUUUUUUUAAAUAUUUUUUUAAAUUCAUGGAGUCAUGAGAUGUAUUUGUUUUCUUCAGAAACACAUUUUUCAAUUGUUCUAAUAAAUUUAAUUAUUGGGGGAAAUUGUGAUACAUUUUUGCUCUUCAUAAAAAACAAGAAAUACAUUCUUUUUU
Hippocampus zosterae (dwarf seahorse) is the source of this 2192-nucleotide long non-coding RNA. RefSeq lists it as uncharacterized. The transcript is spliced from 5 exons. NCBI's taxonomy places the organism in Eukaryota, Metazoa, Chordata, Actinopteri, Syngnathiformes, Syngnathidae. The record is from RefSeq and is a predicted model, not a curated record.